CACGGGGGGAGCAAGCGUUGUUCGGAAUCACUGGGCGUAAAGGGCGUGCAGGCGGUCAGGUAAGUGGGAUGUGAAAUGCCCCGGCUCACCCGGGGACCGGCAUCUCAUACUGCUUGGCUUGAGUACGGGAGAGGAUGUGGGAAUUCCUGGUGUAGCGGUGAAAUGCGCAGAUAUCAGGAGGAACACCGGUGGCGAAGGCGGUUCUCUGGGCCUUACCUGACGCUGAGGAGCGAAAGCGUGGGGAGCGAACAGG
This 253-nucleotide ribosomal RNA is filed under the name uncultured bacterium. RNAcentral describes it as "partial 16S ribosomal RNA". It matches the Rfam family "Bacterial small subunit ribosomal RNA", at positions 524 to 776 of the family's 1533-position model. The record is from RNAcentral.